Non-coding RNA from Odocoileus virginianus texanus, 516 nucleotides. The record is from RefSeq and is a predicted model, not a curated record. Lineage: Eukaryota; Metazoa; Chordata; Mammalia; Artiodactyla; Cervidae.
GUUCCUGGGCGCGGGGUCCCGGGAACCCGGCGCUUAGAGACGGGCAUCGUCUAGGUUUAGCCGCCAUGUCCCUGCAGGCUGAUUUUGACAAGGCGGCCAAAGACGUGAGGAAGCCGAAAACCAGGCCAGAUGAUGAGGAACUAAAAGAGAUCUAUGGACUCUACAAACAGUCUGUAACUGGAGACAUAGAUAUUGAGUGUCCAGCACUGUUAGAUCUGAAAGGAAAGGCUAAGUGGGAAGCCUGGAACCUUCAAAAAGGAUUAUCAAAGGAAGAUGCCAUGAGUGCCUAUAUUUCUAAAGCAAAAGAACUAAUAGAAAAAUACGGAAUCUAGAAUUCAGCCCAUGAGAGAAUUUUCCUUUUGAAGCCUUCAUAAUGGUAUUGUGACCUAAUACUUAGGAGAGAAAUGCACUGUAACUCUUGAUGGAUCAUCAAUAUUUUUGCUAGUAACAUGACUUGUCAUUCUGAAUUAGAGGUAUGAUGAAACUACAUGUUUAAUAAAAUUUUACUUGCUAAAA